CAGUAGCCGCGGGAAUACGUAGGUGGCAAGCGUUGUCCGGAAUUAUUGGGCGUAAAGCGCGCGCAGGCGGAUCAGUUAGUCUGUCUUAAAAGUUCGGGGCUUAACCCCGUGAUGGGAUGGAAACUGCUGAUCUAGAGUAUCGGAGAGGAAAGUGGAAUUCCUAGUGUAGCGGUGAAAUGCGUAGAUAUUAGGAAGAACACCAGUGGCGAAGGCGACUUUCUGGACGAAAACUGACGCUGAGGCGCGAAAGCCAGGGGAGCGAACGGGAUUAGAUACCCCGGUAGUCCCUGUCUCUUAUACA
Molecule: ribosomal RNA, 301 nt
Filed under: uncultured bacterium
Lineage: Bacteria
Description: partial 16S ribosomal RNA
Rfam family: Bacterial small subunit ribosomal RNA
Source: RNAcentral